This 253-nucleotide ribosomal RNA is filed under the name uncultured prokaryote. RNAcentral's name for it is "partial 16S ribosomal RNA". It matches the Rfam family "Bacterial small subunit ribosomal RNA", at positions 524 to 776 of the family's 1533-position model. The record is from RNAcentral.
UACGGAGGGUGCAAGCGUUGUCCGGAUUUAUUGGGUUUAAAGGGUGCGUAGGCGGUGCCGUAAGUCGGGUGUGAAAUCCCUCGGCCUAACCGAGGAACUGCGCCCGAUACUGCGGUGCUUGAGGAUCAGAGGGGUGCAUGGAAUUUCCGGUGGAGCGGUGAAAUGCGUUGAUAUCGGAAGGAACUCCGGCGGCGAAAGCGAUGCACUGGCUGAUUUCUGACGCUGAGGUGCGAAAGCCAGGGGAGCAAACGGG